UGGGGCAACCCCCCCGACUUUAACGUCGGGGUAUCUGCUCGCAAGAGUAGAUAGGGAACGCGGGGAACUGAAACAUCUCAGUACCCGCAGGAAAAGAAAUCAUAUGAGAUUCCGUGAGUAGCGGCGAGCGAAAGCGGAGAAGUCUAAACCCUGCAGUAGAGCGCAAGCUCUCACUACAGGGUGUUGCGGAGCCACAGUAGGACGUUAGAUUUUAUAGCAGAAUAGCCUGGAACGGUUAUCCAUAGAAGGUGAAAGACCUGUAUGCACAAUGAAAACUAACUCUGGUGGAUCUUCCAAGUACCACGAGGCACGGCAAACCUUGUGGGAAUCUGGGUCGGUCACGAUCCAAGACUAAAUACUCAAACUGACCGAUAGUGAACUAGUACCGUGAGGGAAAGGUGAAAAGAACCCCGAGAGGGGUGUGAAAUAGUACCUGAAACCAUUAGCUAACAAACAGACAGAGUCAUGUACCAUGCGCAAGCACUGAACGUGAUGAUGUCGUGCCUAUUGAAGAAUGAGUCAGCGAGUGUCUGCACAGGAGUUGCUUAAUCUCUUAUGGAGAGGAGGCGAAGUGAAAGCGAGCUUGAAUAGAGCGUUUAUUCCGUGCGGACAACCCGAAACCGGGUGAGCUAACCUUGAGCAGGGUGAAGCUGGUCGAAAGACUAGUGGAGGCCCGAACUCGUCGUCGGUGAAAUGGCGUGAGAUGACUUGAGGUUAGGGGUAAUAUGCCAAUCGAACCCGGAGAUAGCUGGUUCUCCCCGAGAUAUAUCUAGGUAUAGCCUCAGCGUAUACUACGUGGGGUAGAGCGACUGGAUAGUUGCAGGAUUCGCAAGAGUGUUGUAAUUAACCAAACUCCGAAUACGCGUAGUUUAAGCUGGGAGUCAGUCCCACUCGGAUAAGCGAGCGUGGGCGAGAGGGAAACAUCCCAGAUUCUCGAUUAAGGUUCCUAAAUAAUAGUUAAGUGGUAAAGGCCGUUUAGUUUCCAACACAGCAGGGAGGUUGGCUCAGAAGCAGCCAUCCUUUAAAGAGUGCGUAACAGCUCACCUGAAUAGUUCCCGAUUUAUCGGGAUUGGAGACUAUGCGCCUAAAAUGAUUCGGAGCUCAAACUAUUUACCGAAAUCAGAAAUUUUGAUACCAAUUUAUUGAUAUUGAAGUGGUAGGGGAGCGUUUUUGGUGCAUUGAAGCCCAGUUGUAAGACUGAGUGGAGCGCCAAGAAGUGAGAAUGCUGACAUGAGUAGUGUUUUCUUUCGGUGAAAACCCGGAAUGCCAAAUGUCCAAGGUUUCCUCAGCAACGUCAAUCGGCUGAGGGUUAGUCGGAUCUAAGCGCGUGCCGUUUCAGGCAUGAGCGAUGUACAAGCAGCUAAUAUUCUGCUACUGUUUAUAACGCGUUAUCACUUAAGUUCUGACGAAGUAUGAAAAAUGGAGCCUCCUAUAGGGGGUGCAAGUAGUGAGUCUUUGCCGUAAGGUAAUUGCGAACUGUGAUGCUUAUUUUGAUCGCAAGAUUGAGAAAGUCCAUACGUUUAUGUUUCCGGGAAAAAUUGCUUAAGGAGUGUUAUAAAUAUCCGUACCGACAACCAACAAAGGUGGACUGGUCGAGUAGACUAAGGUAUACGAGUGAUCGUGAUUUAAGGAACUCUGCAUAAAAAGCUGAGCGUAAGUUUUCGAGAUGCUCUGCCCCGACGUCACGUCGGGGCCCCAGCAAAUGAUUAUCAGCCGACUGUUUAACUAAAACACAGGUUCCUGCCAACCCCAAAAGGGGACGUAUAGGAGCUGAUGCCUGUCCAGUACUGGUAAGUCAACCAUUGUGGCUGACUGUAGCGAGCAAUCUCUACAAAAGGUCGCGGUGUAAGCUCCAGUGAACGACAGCUCUAACCCUGAGAGUUCUAAGGUAGCGUAGCCCCUUGUCGGGUAAGUUCCGACCCGCAUGAAAGGUAUAACGAGUUGAUAACUGUCUUAAAUCACCGCUCGACGAAGUUGAAAUGGCUGUGAAGAUGCGGCCUACUUGCACUUGGACAAAAAGACCCCGAGAGCUUUACUGAAUUUUGACAUUGGUGGAAGGAGAAUAACUGUUGAGAGUAGGAGGGAGCCCGCCGCAAGGCGGACGACGAUGAAACACCUCUCUUUCUUCUUUUUUCACCUUAUCUUCGCAAGAGGAAACAGUGUUAGAUGGUCAGUUUAACUGGGGCGGUUUCCUCCAAAAUAGUAACGGAGGAGCGCAAAGGUCAGCUUAUUCCGGAUGGAAAUCGGAAUGUACGUGUAUACGCAUAAGCUGGCUUGACUGUGAGGAUGACUAUCCAAUCAGAUGCGAAAGCAGGCGUAAGUGAUCCCCCGAUCCGCUGUGAUAGCGGGCGGGGCUUAACGGAUAAAAGCUACCUCGGGGAUAACAGGCUGGUGACGUCCGAGAGUUCAUAUCGACGACGUCGUUCGGCACCUCGAUGUCGGCUCAUCGCAUCCUGGAGCUGGAGUCGGUUCCAAGGGUUGGGCUGUUCGCCCAUUAAAGCGGUACGCGAGCUGGGUUCAGAACGUCGUGAGACAGUUCGGACUCUAUCCAGUGCAAGCGAUUAGAUUUUUGAGGGGAGUCGUCUACAGUACGAGAGGACCUAGAUGAGGAAAUCCCUGGUGUAUCGGUUGUCCCACAAGGGCAUCGCCGAGUAGCUACAUUUCUAAACGAUAAGCACUGAAAGCAUAUCAAGUGCGAAGCGAACCCCAAGAUAAGAAAUCCUUAUAGUCCGCCGGUAGAUGACCGGUUUGAUAGGUGUUCGGUGUAAGUCCAGCAAUGGAUUAAGCCAUGACAUACUAAUGGACGAAGUUU
RNAcentral lists this ribosomal RNA (2812 nucleotides) under Candidatus Roizmanbacteria bacterium CG17_big_fil_post_rev_8_21_14_2_50_39_7. RNAcentral describes it as "bacterial LSU rRNA". It matches the Rfam family "Bacterial large subunit ribosomal RNA". The record is from RNAcentral. Lineage: Bacteria; Candidatus Roizmaniibacteriota.